GCUCGCUUCGGCAGAACAUAUAACUAAAAUUGGAAUGAUACAGAAAAGAUUAGCAUGGCCCCUGCACAGAGGAUGGCAUGCAAGUUUGUGAAGCAUUCCAUAUUUAA
Suncus etruscus (white-toothed pygmy shrew) is the source of this 107-nucleotide small nuclear RNA. The record is from RefSeq and is a predicted model, not a curated record. Lineage: Eukaryota; Metazoa; Chordata; Mammalia; Eulipotyphla; Soricidae.